Molecule: transfer RNA, 77 nt
Filed under: Lentisphaerota bacterium
Lineage: Bacteria; Pseudomonadati; Lentisphaerota
Also listed under: 1 other name
Description: Lentisphaerae bacterium (groundwater metagenome) tRNA-Asp
Rfam family: tRNA
About the family: Transfer RNA (tRNA) molecules are approximately 80 nucleotides in length.
Source: RNAcentral
GGGGGAGUAGCGCAAUUGGCUAGAGCAUCGGCUUGUCACGCCGAAGGUUGCGGGUUCGAGCCCCGUCUCUCCCGCCA